GAUAACUCCAAAAUUUUUUUUUCACUUUUCGGCGUUGUUGCGGAGAAUUAAUUAACAAACAUACCAAAAGUAUAUAAGCCAGAUCAGCGCGGCAAAUAUGUUUAAAAUGUUGUUUUUCAUAAAAUAAAGGCUAUAAGUAAGUUA
Molecule: long non-coding RNA, 144 nt
Organism: Acyrthosiphon pisum (pea aphid)
Lineage: Eukaryota; Metazoa; Arthropoda; Insecta; Hemiptera; Aphididae
Exons: 2
Source: RefSeq, a predicted model, not a curated record